RNAcentral lists this ribosomal RNA (253 nucleotides) under uncultured bacterium. Its description in RNAcentral is "partial 16S ribosomal RNA". It matches the Rfam family "Bacterial small subunit ribosomal RNA", at positions 524 to 776 of the family's 1533-position model. The record is from RNAcentral.
UACGUAGGGUGCGAGCGUUAAUCGGAAUUACUGGGCGUAAAGCGUGCGCAGGCGGUUGGUUAAGUCUGAUGUGAAAGCCCCGGGCUCAACCUGGGAAUGGCAUUGGAAACUGGCUGGCUAGAGUGUGGCAGAGGGGGGUGGAAUUCCGCGUGUAGCAGUGAAAUGCGUAGAUAUCGGGAGGAAUACCGAUGGCGAAGGCAGGUCUCUGGGCUGACACUGACGCUCAUGCACGAAAGCGUGGGGAGCAAACAGG